RNAcentral lists this ribosomal RNA (253 nucleotides) under uncultured bacterium. RNAcentral's name for it is "partial 16S ribosomal RNA". It matches the Rfam family "Bacterial small subunit ribosomal RNA", at positions 524 to 776 of the family's 1533-position model. The record is from RNAcentral.
UACGUAGGGGGCAAGCGUUGUCCGGAUUUAUUGGGCGUAAAGAGCGUGUAGGCGGCCUGACAGGUCCGCUGUGAAAACUCGAGGCUCAACCUCGAGAUGUCGGCGGAAACCGUCUGGCUAGAGUCCGGAAGAGGAGAGUGGAAUUCCUGGUGUAGCGGUGAAAUGCGCAGAUAUCAGGAAGAACACCUAUGGCGAAGGCAGCUCUCUGGGACGGUACUGACGCUGAGACGCGAAAGCGUGGGGAGCGAACAGG